This 1768-nucleotide long non-coding RNA is filed under the name Homo sapiens (human). Its description in RNAcentral is "HSALNT0252305". Lineage: Eukaryota; Metazoa; Chordata; Mammalia; Primates; Hominidae. The record is from RNAcentral.
GGCCUGCGGCAGGCCGCGUGCGGACUUGGUGGUCGCUGGGGUCCGCGACGGGGUGGGGGCUCCCGGGGAACCGCACGCGGCCGGGCCGGGCGGACGACGGAGUGCGGAGGGGGGCGGCUGGCGGGAGGGUGCGCCAUGAAAACAAGGGCUGGAAAAGCGCCGGGAACCGCCUGGACCCUUUCUGGCCGUGUGAGUGUGUGUGGAGUGUGUGUGUGUGUGUGUGUGUGUGUGUGUGUCUCGCCUGGACCUUUUCUAGCCGUGUAUGUGGGAGUGUGUGUGUCGCCUGGACCCUUUCUAGCCGUGUAUGAGAGUGUGUACACGCGCCUACACACACACACGUUGUGUUACCGGCGCUCGGCCGCCGGGGGAAGACCCAGGCCAAUGCCGCCCCCCACCGCCCCCAGCAGUGGGACCUCAGCGCUGCCCUGCUGUGAAGACAGAGCCUCACUCUAUGGAUUUUCCCAGACUGAUUCCUUAUGUGGCAUCUUGGCUAUAAUCAGUCUUGAGACAGGCCACCAAACAAAAAGCUUUUGAUUGCCAGUUUUCGCCACCUGCUGGUUGUUUCACAGCGUUACUCUCUUCAUCCAUCCAAGAAAGUUCUUUCAUCCAUCAUCAAUAUAAAUAUUCUCCAAGUUUAUGAAAUUCAAAAGGUACAUUAUUCUAACAUGAACAUACUAAUGUUUAAUAUAGGUAUGUAUCGGCCAGGUGUGGUUGCUCAUGCCUGUAAUCUCAGCACUUUGGGAGGCUGCGGUGGGUGUAUUGCUUGAGGCCAAGAGUUUGAGACCAGCCUGCACAACAUGACAAAACUCUAUCUCCACAAAAAAUACAAAAAUUAGCGGGGCAUGGUGGUGUGUGCCUGUAGUCCCAUCUACUCUGAAGGCUGAGAUAGGACGAUCACUUGAGCCCAGGAGGUGGAGGCUGUAGUGAGCUGUGAUCACACCACUGCACUGCAGCCUGGGUGACAGACUGAUACCCUGUCUCAAAAAAAAAAAGAAAAGAAAAGAAAAAAAAAAUCAUGUGUGUGUAUCAAAUCUUCCCAGCUAGUAAACUUUUUAUUGAAAAUGUGGGUAGAAUGAGACUAUUAACUGAGGAUAUUGAUAACUAAUAGGUCAGAUGGAAGAGUAAACCAUGGCCCCAACCUGAAAUGGAAAUUAAUCCAUAAAUAAAAUGAGCUGACUAGAGAGAAUAAAAACAAGUAGUCCAUAUAGUUUGCAUAAAAGAAAAAUGAGGCCGAGCGCAGUGGCUCACGGCUGUAAUCCCAGCACUUUGGGAGGCAGAGGUGGGCAGAUCACCUGAGGUCAGGAAUUCAAGACCAGGCUGACCAAUAUGGUGGAACCCCGUCUCUACUAAAAAUACAAAAAUUAGCCAGGCGUGGUGGCGGGGACCUGUAGUCCCAGCUACUCAGGAGGCUGAAACAGGAGAAUUGCUUGAACCCGGGAGGCAGAGAUUGCAGUGAGCCAAGAUCAUGCCACUGCACUCCAGCAUGGGUGAGAGAGUGAGACUCCAUCUCAAAAAAAAGAAAGAAAGAAAGAAAGAAAGAAAACUGCUUAAAAAAUAACUUCUCAGCCGGGUGCAGUGGCUCAUGCCUGUAAUCCCAGCACUUUGGGAGGCCGAGGUGGAUGGAUCACGAGGUCAGGAGAUCGAGACCAUCCUGGCCAACAUGGUGAAACCCUGUCUUUACUAAAACUACAAAAAUUAGCUGGGCAUGGUGGCAAGUGCCUGUAAUCCCAGCUACUCGAGAGGCUAGGCAGGAGAAUCACUUGAACCA